Molecule: ribosomal RNA, 1030 nt
Filed under: uncultured bacterium
Lineage: Bacteria
Description: bacterial SSU rRNA
Rfam family: Bacterial small subunit ribosomal RNA
Source: RNAcentral
GGUGAACGCUGGCGGUGUGCCUAAGACAUGCAAGUCGAACGGGAUUUGUUGUCUACACUAAGAUUAUUUAUAUAGUUUUAGUGUAGAUAAUAGAUCUAGUGGCGAACGGGUGAGUAACAGAUAGGAACGUACUUUAAAGAGGGGGAUAGCCCACCGAAAGGUGGAGUAAUACCCUAUAAUAUCGCAAGAUUAAAGACGCAAGUCACUUUAAAAGCGGCCUAUCUACUACCAGCUAGUUGGUGGGGUAAUGGCCUACCAAGGCGAUGACGGUUAACGGCUCUUAGCGGAGAGUCCGUCACAAUGGGACUGAGACACGGCCCAUACACCUACGGGUGGCAGCAGUUAGGAAUUUUGCGCAAUGGACGAAAGUCUGACGCAGCGACACCGCGUGGAGGAUGACGGCCUUCGGGUUGUAAACUCCUUUUCUCUAGACAUGAAGUUUAGGGGAAUAAGCAACUACUAACUACGUGCCAGCAGUCGCGGUAAUACGUAGGUUGCAAGCGUUACUCGGAUUUAUUGGGCGUAAAGCGUCUGUAGGCGGUUUUUUAAGUCUUGUUUCAAAGAUCUCGGCUCAACCGAGGGAAGGGGCAGGAUACUGAAAGACUAGAGUGAUAUCGGAGUUACUGGAAUUUGUAGUGUAGGGGUAAAAUCCGUGGAUACUACAAAGAACACCAAGCGCGAAGGCGGGUAACUAGGUAUUUACUGACGCUCAGAGACGAAAGCUAGGGGAGCAAAUCAGAUUAGAGACCUGAGUAGUCCUAGCUGUAAACAUUGUCCGUUAAUUCCCUGUUUUUUAAUGGGGGAUGUAAGCUAACGCGUUAAACGGACCGCCUGGGGAGUAUAGCCGCAAGGCCGAAACUCAAACGAAUUGGCGGGGAGGCGCACAACCAGUGGAGCAUGUUGUUCAAUUCGAUACGAAGCGAUAAACCUUACCUGGGUUUGAAAUGUAACUGCAAGCCUGACGAAAGUCAGGCCGCCUUCGAGGGUGUUACACAGCUGUUGCAUGGCUGUCGUCAGCUCGUGACGUGAG